Molecule: ribosomal RNA, 253 nt
Filed under: uncultured bacterium
Lineage: Bacteria
Description: partial 16S ribosomal RNA
Rfam family: Bacterial small subunit ribosomal RNA
Source: RNAcentral
UACGUAGGGUGCGAGCGUUAAUCGGAAUUACUGGGCGUAAAGCGUGCGCAGGCGGUUUUGUAAGCCAGGUGUGAAAUCCCCGGGCUCAACCUGGGAAUGGCAUUUGGGACUGCAAGGCUGGAGUGCGGCAGAGGAGACUGGAAUUCCUGGUGUAGCGGUGAAAUGCGUAGAUAUCGGGAGGAACACCAGUGGCGAAGGCGAUCAUCUGGGGUUGUUCUGACACUGAGGAGCGAAAGCUAGGGGAGCAAACGGG